CCUACGGGUGGCAGCAGUGAGGAAUAUUGGUCAAUGGACGCAAGUCUGAACCAGCCAUGCCGCGUGCAGGAAGACGGCCCUAUGAGUUGUAAACUGCUUUUGUACGAGGGUAAAUCCCGAUACGUGUAUCGGGUUGAAAGUAUCGUACGAAUAAGCAUCGGCUAACUCCGUGCCAGCAGCCGCGGUAAUACGGAGGAUUCAAGCGUUAUCCGGAUUUAUUGGGUUUAAAGGGUGCGGAGGCGGGUCGAUAAGUUAGCGGUGAAAUCCCGGGGCUCAACUCCGGCCCUGCCGGUGAUACUGUGGUGCUAGAGUGUAGGAGCGGUAGGCGGAAUGUGUGGUGUAGCGGUGAAAUGCAUAGAGAUCACACAGAACACCGAUUGCGAAGGCAGCUUACC
RNAcentral lists this ribosomal RNA (395 nucleotides) under uncultured bacterium. Its description in RNAcentral is "partial 16S ribosomal RNA". It matches the Rfam family "Bacterial small subunit ribosomal RNA", at positions 338 to 730 of the family's 1533-position model. The record is from RNAcentral.